AUGGGCUACUCUCCUGAGGAAUGUCUGAGCAUUGCUAACCGCCUCAACUGCCGUUUGGGCUCCUUUCCCACGACCUACUUGGGAACGGCCAUUAGCGAUUCUAGGCUCACCGUCGCGGACUUGCCGGCUGUGGCCAAGCUAUAUACGCGCAUUGAGCCCUGGCAGGGCAGGUGGCUUUCGAAGGCGGCCCGGACGAUCCUUAUCAACUCCUCCCUCUCCAGCCUCCUCUUGUUCCUCAUGAGCUUAUACAGCCUUCACGAGACUCUGCACCAUGAGAUCGCCAAAGUCCAGUCUCGUUUCUACUGGGCUGGCGACAACAAUAAGCAGAAAUACCAUAUGGUUAGCUGGCCUGACAUAUGCAAGCCUCGGGACCAAGGAGGACUAGGUAUCAUGUGCUCGAAGAGCAUGAAUAUUGCGCUCCUAUCCCGAUGGCUUUGGCGCAUUUCGCAAGGGCAAGGCGGCCUCUGGUUAGAUAUAAUCCGGAGCAAGUACCUGCGCCGACAACCCCUCGCUUUCUGUGAGCGCUCAGGCGGCUCCCAGUUUUGGCAGUCGAUUAUCCAACUCCUCCCGGUCCUCCGCAUUGGGACAUCCAUCUCGGUUGGUUCGGGUUCUGCGACCUUGUUCUGGUUCGACCGUUGGGCUGGUGAUUCCCCCUUCGCGGCGCGAUUCCCCGACCUCUUCUCCAUCGCUGUUGACCCAACCAUCUCCGUCGAGAGGGCCCUUAUUGAGUUAGGGCGCCUCGCCUUCCGGAGACCGUUCGUUCCUCCAGAAUCCGCCGCCUGGCGCGAAUUGCUUGAUUGCAUCGCCCUUCACGAACCGGCCGUCGACUCGGGCCCGGACCAGGUUAGGUGGCGUCUUGAGCCUUCCGGCCAAUUCUCCACCAAGUCCCUCUACCAGGACAUUGCUCCCUCCAUCGCUCCUCCCCCCUCCCGGCGGUAUGGUCCAUCCGUCUGA
Molecule: ribosomal RNA, 954 nt
Filed under: Triticum aestivum (bread wheat)
Lineage: Eukaryota; Viridiplantae; Streptophyta; Magnoliopsida; Poales; Poaceae
Description: partial small subunit ribosomal RNA
Source: RNAcentral